CAGUCGCCGCGGGAAUACGUAGGUCCCGAGCGUUGUCCGGAUUUAUUGGGCGUAAAGCGAGCGCAGGCGGUUAGAUAAGUCUGAAGUUAAAGGCUGUGGCUUAACCAUAGUACGCUUUGGAAACUGUUAAACUUGAGUGCAGGAGAGAAAAGUGGAAUUCCUAGUGUAGCGGUGAAAUGCGUAGAUAUAUGGAGGAACACCGGUGGCGAAAGCGGCUCUCUGGCUUGUAACUGACGCUGAGGCUCGAAAGCGUGGGGAGCAAACAGGAUUAGAUACCCCAGUAGUCCCUGUCUCUUAUACA
RNAcentral lists this ribosomal RNA (301 nucleotides) under uncultured bacterium. RNAcentral describes it as "partial 16S ribosomal RNA". It matches the Rfam family "Bacterial small subunit ribosomal RNA", at positions 509 to 808 of the family's 1533-position model. The record is from RNAcentral.